RNAcentral lists this ribosomal RNA (446 nucleotides) under uncultured bacterium. RNAcentral describes it as "bacterial SSU rRNA". It matches the Rfam family "Bacterial small subunit ribosomal RNA", at positions 329 to 792 of the family's 1533-position model. The record is from RNAcentral.
UGCCAGACUCCUACGGGAGGCAGCAGUGGGGAAUAUUGCACAAUGGGGGAAACCCUGAUGCAGCAACGCCGCGUGAGUGAGGAAGUAUUUCGGUAUGUAAAGCUCUAUCAGCAGGGAAUAGAAAAGAAGGUACCUGAAAAAGAAGCCCCGGCUAACUACGUGCCAGCAGCCGCGGUAAUACGUAGGGGGCAAGCGUUAUCCGGAAUUACUGGGUGUAAAGGGAGCGUAGGCGGGGAUGCAAGUUGGGUGUCAAAACUACCGGCUCAACUGGUAGUCGCACUCAAAACUGCAGCUCUUGAGUGAAGUAGAGGCAGGCGGAAUUCCUAGUGUAGCGGUGAAAUGCGUAGAUAUUAGGAGGAACACCGGUGGCGAAGGCGGCCUGCUGGACGACGACUGACGCUGAGGCUCGAAAGCGUGGGGAGCAAACAGGAUUAGAUACCCCUGUA